RNAcentral lists this ribosomal RNA (130 nucleotides) under Gefionella okellyi. The record is from RNAcentral. Lineage: Eukaryota; Malawimonada; Malawimonadea; Malawimonadida; Malawimonadidae.
UUCUUUAUUUAUUAUUAUUAUCAAAAUUAUAAUUAUACCUGAAAUCAUAUUGAACUCAAUGUUGUUAAAUUAUUUUUUAUUAUAAUUACUAUUAAUUAAUGGGAAAUAUAAUAUAAUAUUAUUUAAAGUA